This is a long non-coding RNA of Mirounga angustirostris (Northern elephant seal), 1602 nucleotides long. RefSeq lists it as uncharacterized. NCBI's taxonomy places the organism in Eukaryota, Metazoa, Chordata, Mammalia, Carnivora, Phocidae. The transcript has 4 exons. The record is from RefSeq and is a predicted model, not a curated record.
CGCCAAAGGCAGCUUGGUGUUGGUUUGCCCACUCCUUCAUUCUCUGUCGCCCAAGAGCUUCCCACCCCUUUAGGGGGCUGCACUGUGGCACCGGAUGGAGAGGGGACAGUGGCCUAUGCCGCGUCAGAUUAGGAAACAAGGGAAGUAAGUCGCCUGUGGGUGGAACUUGAAAGGAUUUUCACUCCUGUCAGAUGCCAAAGCCAAAGUCCUUUAUUGUGCCAAGGCUGCCUUUGUAGCAUUUCAGUGCAUGCGGGUUCGGUGAAACAGGUCAUCUUCCUGAGAAAAGGCGGCUGAGGUGCUAUACAAGAUGUUUGUACUUCAAGAACCCCAGAAGCUGCAGAUUAUGUAUGAAUCCCUGGAAAAGAGCAUCCCUGAGUCCUUGAAGGAAAGGAAGCUUUCAGAACAUCUUCUUGGAUGCCUCCCACGUGGGGCUUGUGAAUGAGCAGUGGAAUUUUGGAAAAAAUGGGAGGAGCUUGAAAUAUAUUGAAUGCUGCCUCCAGAAUUUUCCAGAAUUUGGUGUGCUGGGUCCAGAGGAGGACACUGUCUCUUGGACUGUGAUGGAACAGUCUUGUGAGAUGAGAAUGGGUUACACUGUCCCCAAACCGAGACCAAGGCUACAUGAAGAAAAUCGGUUCUCACUUUAUAUUUUAUUCAGAAAAAAAUGCCAUUUAAUUUGCAUGUGUCAAAAGAUAAAGAAAACCUUCAGCCACUGAGAAGUGUGGGGUUUAAGUCUGCUCCUUGUGGUUGGCAUCAGUGGAAAUGCACUCCUAGAAAAUAUUGUUGAUUAGUGCCAUUGUCCAUUUCAAGCUUUUAUGGUCAGUGAAAAAAAUACCAGUUCAAACACAAGCAUUAUAAUUUAUAUUAGCACAAAAACAUCCAAUUGUUUGGGUUCCAUGCAUUACUUAACCCACCCUUGUAUAAUAUUUUUUCCUCCUCCAUAUUACAGAAAAAUGGAAGCUUGAACUUUUGGUGUUAUGUUUUGCCUUUAUGGUGACAGACCUCUCAGAAUUAAAAUCAUCCAGUGUCAAUCAUUAGUGCCAGGAUAACCUUUUCAAAGCAACGUUUUCCUCUUUGAAGACUUCUUUCAUGAAAGAAUCCUACUUUUCCAUGCUCCUGUGCUUGAAAAUAAGAAGGCUGAUUUGAAAAGUGUCUUCUCUGGUAUCCUCCCCUUCCUCUGACAAAAUUUUCCAAAGGACCUCUCAAAAGCCCUCAGCCUUUGAUCCUGGGUGCCCUCUCAAGAGUUUUGAGAUACUCUACUGAAUUAAAUUAUGUGGCCAUCAUUUAAAGUUUGGUUUUCUUAUUAGCUUUUUAAAAAGAUUUAUUCAUUUAAGAGAGAGAGGGAAUGCGAGCAGUGGGAGAGGAGCAGGGGGAGAGGGAGAGGGAGAGAGAAACUCAAGCAGAUUGCAAUGAGAGUGGAGCCUAACAUGGGGCUCGGUUUUAGGACCCUGAGAUCAUGACCUCAGCUAAAACCAAGAGUUGGAUGUGUAACCAACUGUGCCACCCAGGGGCCCCCAAAUAAGUAAUUCCUUUACUUACAGUUAAAAACUCUGAUUCUGUAAGUCACAUCUUAAUAAUAUCUGUCUCUUCUUGUUGGUGCUUGUG